Molecule: small nucleolar RNA, 133 nt
Organism: Sorex fumeus (smoky shrew)
Lineage: Eukaryota; Metazoa; Chordata; Mammalia; Eulipotyphla; Soricidae
Product: small nucleolar RNA SNORA61
Exons: 1
Source: RefSeq, a predicted model, not a curated record
UAUCUCCUCUUCCUUUUUCUAUCAGAUCUGAACACUGGUCUUGGUAGUCAUAAAAGUAGGAACAGAAAUACUGAAAAUGUCUUCAAAGGGCUCAAAGUCUGCCAUGUUGCACAUAGCCUAGUUUCAAACAAGU